GCCCGGCUAGCUCAAUCGGUAGAGCGUGAGACUCUUAUCCAUCAUCCGGUCUUUGAUCGUGGUGGACAGUGGACAUCUCAAGGUUGUGGGUUCGACCCCCACGUCGGGCU
Non-coding RNA from Podospora conica, 110 nucleotides. NCBI's taxonomy places the organism in Eukaryota, Fungi, Ascomycota, Sordariomycetes, Sordariales, Podosporaceae. The record is from the annotation of a GenBank genome assembly.